RNAcentral lists this ribosomal RNA (429 nucleotides) under Actinomycetes bacterium. RNAcentral describes it as "Actinobacteria bacterium partial 16S ribosomal RNA". It matches the Rfam family "Bacterial small subunit ribosomal RNA", at positions 355 to 776 of the family's 1533-position model. Lineage: Bacteria; Bacillati; Actinomycetota; Actinomycetes. The record is from RNAcentral.
UAGGGAAUCUUCCGCAAUGGGCGAAAGCCUGACGGAGCAACGCCGCGUGAGUGAUGAAGGUCUUCGGAUCGUAAAACUCUGUUAUUAGGGAAGAACAAAUGUGUAAGUAACUAUGCACGUCUUGACGGUACCUAAUCAGAAAGCCACGGCUAACUACGUGCCAGCAGCCGCGGUAAUACGUAGGUGGCAAGCGUUAUCCGGAAUUAUUGGGCGUAAAGCGCGCGUAGGCGGUUUUUUAAGUCUGAUGUGAAAGCCCACGGCUCAACCGUGGAGGGUCAUUGGAAACUGGAAAACUGGAGUGCAGAAGAGGAAAGUGGAAUACCAUGUGUAGCGGUGAAAUGCGCAGAGAUAUGGAGGAACACCAGUGGCGAAGGCGACUUUCUGGUCUGUAACUGACGCUGAUGUGCGAAAGCGUGGGGAUCAAACAGG